CUCCUUUGUCAAAAAUUGGGUGUUCAUAGUUUAUUUAUAUGAUGGAUUACAUUGCUAGAUGUUCAUAUGUUGUACCACCACUACAUCUCUGGAGAGAAGCUUACUUGAUCAUAAUGGAUUAUUUUUUUAUGUGUACUUGGAUUUGGUUUACCAGUAUUUUUACUAAGAACUUUUGCAUGUUCAUGGACAAAGAAGGCUGAUGAGAAACCAAAGACAAUGGCACUGGGUUUUGAUCCUACUGCAUAAACUGGCUUUGUGGGAACUUAGCCUGUUUGGAUGCUCACCUUCCUAGACCUGGACAGAGUGGUGAGGACACUGGACUUCCCACAGGGCAGGAAACCCUGACUGCUCUUUGGACUGGAGAAGGAGGGGGAA
This is a long non-coding RNA of Alexandromys fortis (reed vole), 375 nucleotides long. RefSeq lists it as uncharacterized. Lineage: Eukaryota; Metazoa; Chordata; Mammalia; Rodentia; Cricetidae. The transcript is spliced from 3 exons. The record is from RefSeq and is a predicted model, not a curated record.